Long non-coding RNA from Hipposideros armiger (great roundleaf bat), 4127 nucleotides. RefSeq lists it as uncharacterized. Lineage: Eukaryota; Metazoa; Chordata; Mammalia; Chiroptera; Hipposideridae. The record is from RefSeq and is a predicted model, not a curated record. The transcript has 3 exons.
GUUAUGUGAUCAGUAUUUUCAUGGAAGAAGAAGACACCUUUGAUUUCAUAGGUGGACUUGAUGCUCACUCCUACUACAAGGAUCAUGUUGAGUUAAAGCCUGUUAACCUGUCGAAAUAAGUAAAUGACAUGGACUCUGAAAUGCAACUGCUGAACUUGACUUUAGAAGCAAAGCACCAUUGACAGCUCCUCUCUGCAUCAACACAUCUCACUUUCUUCCAGAGGAUGGACUCCGCCUCCCUGCCUUCCCACAGAUCACAGAGUUCUUCGAUCACAAUCUAUGUAUUAUUAGCAUUGUGUGCUAGAUGAGUUGUAGGUGCUUGGGUGGGUAUUUUUUUAGUCAUUUUCUUCUUAUAUGAGUACUUGUAAAUUGAAAAAAUUGAUUUUUAAUUUUUUUAACAAUAUUUAACAUGGCGCAUGCAAACUGAAAAAAAAAUGCUGUGAAAACCUUCUACAGACAAUUCUAUGAGAAAUAUUGGUUGGUAUUGUUGAGGUGUUAAGUCAAGAUCGCUAAUAGCUGCAGUUCUCUUAGGCCUAAUGGAGUUUGCAUUAGCAGACAUUACUUGGGGUUACUAGAAAGGACGUUAGAUGCUGUGACAGCUGAUGCAUGGGUACAAAUAAUGGAUCUGGCUUUCAAAUGGAGCAUGGAUCAUUUUUGCAGCAUCACAAGCCAAAACAUGCAGCCUCCCUUGGUUCUCAGCUUCCCAAAAUCCAGAACACUAUGAUGGCAAUCUAAAUUUUCAGAUCCUUACAGAUAUCUUGUUCUUCUUAUGUUCUGAAAAAAUGUAGCUCAUGGGUGUAUGGAAGAGUGAAAUGCUUAGUAGAAAACCUUUCCCCCUUGGAGGGAAUGUGGGUAUCUCUGAGAUUCGUAUUUUCUGCUCUUUAUCCCAGUCCUGACACUGGUGUCAGACCUAAACCACAGCGUGUGGGCAGGUGGGACAGAAAUCGCAACCAUCAAUCUGUAAUCGGGAAUGUUGCUCUGAAGACAUUCAAAAGGAGCAUUAAAAUGUUGUGGAAUUCUCUAUAAAUACUUCAAAAGAAGGUAUUUAUAUUUGUUCUACAUCAACUUUUCUUUCUCCUACCCCAUCCCAAUAACCAAGAAAGUAAUAUCAGAAACAUCAUUUGCAAUGGGAAAAAAAAAGACUGUCUUGAAAACCCAUCAUAGUUUUUUUCAUUUCUAUCUUUGAAUUACUACUUCUCACAUCAAAAUAAGUUUUACUCACUUUGUAUAAUAACCAAGAUGAGACCUCUAUAGGCCGCAGAAUGCGGUAGACUUGCACUAUUUAAUCCAGGAGUUGUGGACUUGGCCCAUACAUCUCUAAGAAGUCAGUCUACAAACCACCUAAAAUUGUAUGCAAAUUUCUGUAUGUAUGUCGAGGUUCCUUUUUUCUUCUUCUUUUUGAAGUCCACAUAUUUUAUGAGACUCGUUUAAGAAUCAGAACUUAUACAACCAAGUCUGCCUGGUUUCUCCCGGUUCAUGGCAACUGCUGUGGCCUGUCUGGGGGCCUGUCUUACUCAUUAGCCUCUGGCUUGUGCUGCUCCAGUCAGCUGACACCCACUGAAUCUCACCACUUUUCAUUCUACUGAAAAAACCCAAAUUCAAAAUGAAGAAGAACGAACAGGGACCUGGGAGAUGGUCAAAUCCAAGCCACCAUGGCAAGUGAGGGACCUGAAGCGUAGGGGACGUAGGGGACUCAUCCAGAGUCCUGCCUGUGCACAGAGGAACAGAGCUACAGCCGAAGGAAGGAGGGCUUGGAAGGCAAACGGUGGGAUUUGGCUCCCAGGUCCCUCGCUGUGUCCUUGGACUGUGUUGGACAUCUCAGCCUUGAGUUUUUCUCAUCUACCAAGUGGGACUAUACUCCCUUACCUCCCAGGGGUGAGGGGAGGGUUAGAUAAAAAUGUAAACAAACACUCUCUAAACUGUGAAGCACUCCAUAACUGAAAGAGGCUGUCAUAAUUAUAAUGUCAGAAGAGCAAGUUGGACCCAGUCCGGAGCUCUUGGGUUGCACUCCAGUGCUGUGCAAAACCCAUGGAAACACCAAACUCCUAAGUUUUCUAAAGAGUAGCUUGAAAAAUUGCCGACGGUUAAGUGAUUAGUACUAAUGCAGACUACAAAUCGCAUUUCUUAAUUAAAAAAUAACUUUUACAUUCAAAUUCCAAGACUAAUAUUAUUAUGGAGAAGGCUACUAGAACAUCAAAAACGUAGAAAUUCAGUCAGAAGAAUAAAAUUAAUAUUUAAAUAUCUUAAACUGUCUUUCCAUUGCCCCCACACGCACAAACAAAACCUAGUUAACGUUUUAUAAAAUAGUACCAUACUAACUUUUGUUGCUGUUUUAUCUUCGUUUGUAAACUUCUGCAUACUUCUAAGAUGCACACGGCCAUGGAUCAUAUCUACCCUGCAAGUAACAGAUUUGAGGGGGAAAUCCUUACGUUAGUGGUUUUUGUAUGGAAAUUUAACAAAGGCAACUACAGAACAUGGUAUGUGUGUUUUGGUUUUUAAACUUUCUUCAUUUAAAUAAUUAAGUUAUAUUUGUUUCAAGUCCCAAGUUCAGGAAUUCAUAAUGAUAAUUGUGAAGUUCCAGAAAAUUUGCCAUUCGUCAGAAACAAGUUAGAGAGAUCUUUCUCUCCUUCCCAUGUUUCUUCUCCCUAUCUCUCCUCUUCCUGGCUACUAAUUAGAGGUUCUGCUUACUUACAACAAAGCGUUGAAAAGGGUGAAGAAUUGUGAGAUGACACUCGGCAGGUACCCCUGAUCCGGGUGACUCUGAUGUAGUAUUGUCACAUGUCACAGGUGCUGCUCUUAAAGUGUGAGCCUUUCCAGUUCUUGCAGCUUUUGCUUCUGUUUUAGGGAAUCCACUCUGCACUGUGCAUCACAUAGUAGGGCUUUCAAAAAGACACAUUCACUGUCUUUACAUUCUUGCCAAAUCUUGGCUUCUCCAUAUGCAAGUGUGUGUCUGGUCAGAGGAAGGGAAAAUGAAUGCAUCUCUUCGCCUGUACUCAUUUGCCAGAACCUCGCUCAACAUCCUAAGAGGUUCAAGUGCUCUUCUCAGAGGUGGUCCUGGUAAAGCUGAACAUAGGACAUUCACUGCCCGUGAACCCCUAGUUCUGACUGGAGUGUAGAAGGGGAAAGGUAAAACCAAUGUUUUUCCCUCUUUAAACCUCUUUGGCAUUGUGUCUUGUAAGCCUUAGCCAACUCUGCCCUAGGCUGUGUCUUCUAUCUUGUGAUGAUGACUUAUCCUUUCCUAAGUGUCUCCUGCUGACAUUGUGCGGAGCCACAGACAGCUAGGAUGCUUUCCAGUUUACCUUCUAUUUAUUUCAGCUUCCAGUCAUGUUUCAAAGCCACAAAAGUUAAGCAGGGGAGUUACAGGGGAUGGGGGAUUAGAGAAUUUCCAGGGGACAAAACAUCUUGGGGUGUGGAACAGUCUAUAUCAGAGAAAUAUCAACCACUUCUUUCAGGAAAAGCUCUAAGCUAGUUUGUCCCCAAGUAUCUUAGCCUUUCACUGGCAGUAUAAUAUGGGGUAUGUGGGCCUGAAAUGAAAGCAUAUGUCCCUACCACUCCAAAUCUGAGAGGCUGUUGGCUCACUUGUUUUGAAGAUAACUUGACAUCUCGGCCUAGCAAAAUAUUGACUUCUUCCUUUUUUCCUUCAGAAAAAUAAGCCCUGCUAUUUUCUAUAGACCUAAAUAAGGGACGCAGCAAGUAUCAAGGGACUGGAUCUAACAAAAUAUAGCAAGGCUGCCAGCUGUCUCACUGAAUGAAUGGGACAGUCAUGAUUGAGAAGAAUUUGUCUUCAUUAGAACCAGCUAAAAUGUACCUUGAAAAGCUGAGGAAAACCAUCAUGACUCUGCUAAAUUGAGAAUCAAAUAAAAGCCAAAGUUGCUCUUUUCAGCCUUUGCAAAUUAGAAAAGAAUCUUGCCAAGAAUAAACUCAUCUUUAUUUUAGACCAAAUUAAAAUUUUAUAGUAUCCAAAAAUGUGGACUCACUACGAAAUGAAUAUUCUGGCUAAUUAUUUCUUAAAGCAAACAUUCACUUAUCAUUCUGACUACUUUAGUUUGUAACUAGAACUUUUACAGUGGAUUAGAAUUCAAAUGUGCUAGCGCUUGACAUUUUAGUUGCUUUCAAGGGAUAACUGA